GAAUGCUGACAUAAGUAACGAUAAAGCGGGUGAAAAGCCCGCUCGCCGGAAGACCAAGGGUUCCUGUCCAACGUUAAUCGGGGCAGGGUGAGUCGACCCCUAAGGCGAGGCCGAAAGGCGUAGUCGAUGGGAAACGGGUUAAUAUUCCCGUACUUGGUGUUACUGCGAAGGGGGGACGGAGAAGGCUAUGUUGGCCGGGCGACGGUUGUCCCGGUUUAAGCGUGUAGGUGUGUGUUCCAGGUAAAUCCGGUUCACUUUAACACUGAGGCGUGACGACGAGGCACUACGGUGCUGAAGCAACAAAUGCCCUGCUUCCAGGAAAAGCCUCUAAGCAUCAGGUAACAUCAAAUCGUACCCCAAACCGACACAGGUGGUCAGGUAGAGAAUACCAAGGCGCUUGAGAGAACUCGGGUGAAGGAACUAGGCAAAAUGGUGCCGUAACUUCGGGAGAAGGCACGCUGACACGUAGGUGAAGUGAUUUACUCAUGGAGCUGAAGUCAGUCGAAGAUACCAGCUGGCUGCAACUGUUUAUUAAAAACACAGCACUGUGCAAACACGAAAGUGGACGUAUACGGUGUGACGCCUGCCCGGUGCCGGAAGGUUAAUUGAUGGGGUCAG
Molecule: ribosomal RNA, 618 nt
Filed under: Salmonella enterica subsp. enterica serovar Typhimurium
Lineage: Bacteria; Pseudomonadati; Pseudomonadota; Gammaproteobacteria; Enterobacterales; Enterobacteriaceae
Description: partial 23S ribosomal RNA
Rfam family: Bacterial large subunit ribosomal RNA
Source: RNAcentral